This 253-nucleotide ribosomal RNA is filed under the name uncultured bacterium. Its description in RNAcentral is "partial 16S ribosomal RNA". It matches the Rfam family "Bacterial small subunit ribosomal RNA", at positions 524 to 776 of the family's 1533-position model. The record is from RNAcentral.
UACGUAGGGUGCAAGCGUUAAUCGGAAUUACUGGGCGUAAAGCGUGCGCAGGCGGCUUUGCAAGACAGAUGUGAAAUCCCCGGGCUUAACCUGGGAACUGCAUUUGUGACUGCAUGGCUGGAGGCCAGUAGGGGGAUGCGGAAUUCCGGGUGUAGUGGUGGAAUGCGUAGAGAUCCGGAGGAACACCAGCGGCGAAGGCGGCAUCCUGGACUGGUACUGACGCUCAGGAGCGAAAGCGUGGGGAGCGAUCCGG